Long non-coding RNA from Equus asinus (donkey), 2564 nucleotides. The record is from Ensembl. Lineage: Eukaryota; Metazoa; Chordata; Mammalia; Perissodactyla; Equidae.
AACCCCCCUGGUUUUAAGGCCAGGGCAAGAACUUCACUGGCGUCUGCCAGCGUCUGUGUCAGCAUGCCUGUACUAGGUCACAACAAUAGCCCCCACCAGUGUCUCAGUCUCUGGUGAGGUCUCACCUCUCACCGAGAAGCACCCAGAGCCUACCAGGUCAAUAUUCACAGCUAUUGGAUGUUGUUAAGGAGCAAGCACUGAGACCCAUCCCUUCUCCUCUUGUGUUCUGUUGGCGAGAAUAGACAUAAUGGCAUCCAACUGCUGAUGUGUGUUGGCGAAUGUAGUUUGAACCUGAAGUGUAAUGGUCACUCCUACUUCCACCCUGAAUCUGGACUUGCCUAUGAAGAGAUCUGGAUAUGUAGGACAGUUUUAGAAGCCACUGGGAGGGGCCACAGGCCUGCUCCACGCACCGUAACCAGCAGGACAGUGAGUGACAAUGGUGGACCCCCUUCCUUACACACAAACACAGAAGGGUCUGUUGUAAGGAGUUAGGGAGAAGAUGAGGAGGAGGACUUGUUCCAUUUGAGAGGAAGUUGGUGGGAAUAAGAGCACAGACCAGCCGCCUUUAACCUUCUUAUUCCCAUUGCCAGAAAAUUUUACCAAUCAGGAGUGAGAUGAUUGCUCCUUGCUGUUUGCUAUGCACUCUGUGGAUUCCACGCUGAGAUCACUACAGUUGGAGAAGGAUGGCCUCUAUCAAAGCAAGUCAGAGAAACUCCCAGGAGAGAAGCCAAGGUGUCAUUUCCUGGGACCAAAUGUUUUAUUGAUGGACAAAGAAUUGCACAUAUUUAACAUGGAAAAUUUGAUGAAUUUGGUCAUCAGCAAACAUCCUUGAUACCAUCACCACAAUCAGAUAAUAGACAGAUCCAACACCUCCAAGAGUUUUCUGGUUUUCCUUAAGUUUUUUUGUGUGUGUAUAUGUGGUAAGAACACUUAACGUCAUUCUUAUUAUUAAACAGAAGGUGAGUUAUGGACCAACAGAUGUUACCAAACCAAGCAAGGAAUCGAAAUAGAAAUGUUUACUUUUGCUGCAUGAUAGUAGAAUAAUGUGCUUAUUUUUGUUCAUUCGCUCAUUCAUUUGCUGAGAUAUUUACUGUGUUCCACUUGUGUUGUUUUUAGCACUUAAGAUGCAGUCGUGGAAAAGAGACCAGUUUCUUAUCAAUGAGGUUUACAUUUUAAUGGGGAAAUAGAAGAAAUGCUUUUGUUUUGAAAACCUUCAGCUGCAAUGACUUUUGAAUUAAUUUCUUCAGGCAUUUAAUUAUUCAUUAAGUUACUUUUGAAGCAAUUAUUCAAAAAUCAUGUUCAACAUAGUAUUUACCAUAAUAAAAGUGAUGUUAUUUGGAGAAAUUUUUAGAAAACAAAAUAAAGUUUAAAACCACCUAUAAUUACAUAAUAUGGAAGACUAUGGCAGUCAGUAAUGUGUGUCUAUGUCCUCCAUUUUUCUCUAUAUUUAGAUUUAUGGACCAAUGUAAUUUUCUGAAAACAAAGGAAUUGAUUUCAUAAAUUACUUUCCCUCAUUCUGUUAAAUAUUCUCUAAGAAUAUGACUUCCCCUAUUCAUAAUCUGGAAUAAAUAUGCUGCAAUUUAUUUAAGUAGUAUUCUAUCAUUAGACUUUGAGGGUAUUUUUCUCAAAUUUAUUUAAGUAACACUACGAUAAAUAGCCUGUAUACACAUCUUGGUAUGUGUCUAUGACUAUCUUCUUAGGGUAAAUGUCUAGAAGUGACUUGAUUGUGUGAAAGUCUAUUAAACAUAUACAGAUUUUAUACAUCAUCUCAACUACCCCUCCAAAGAAUGUAAUUUUACCACAUUAUAAUUUAUCAAUGUUUAUUUCCCUGCAUCCUUACUAGUAUUAGAUAUUUUCAGGUUUUCCCUCUAAUCACAGCCCAAUUGUCUACAGAAAAAAAAAUAUGUCAUUGGUUUAACUUUCAAUCCUUUGAUGAUAAGCAAGUUAAGCACUUGUUCACAUUUAUUGUUCACUGUUGUAUUGGUUAAUUGCCUUUUACAUUUCUGCCCAUAUAUCUAUUUUGUGAUUCAACUCGUAUUUUUUCUUUGUGAAAAUCUCUGUAUAUUAAGCAUAAUUAACUAUAAUUUUGUUAUAUAUUUUAAAUUACUUUUCUGGUGUUUCCUUUACCUUUUAUGGUAUUUUGGAGAUUCCAUUUUUACGUUGUUAAACCUAUUAAUGUUUACCUUUAAUUUUCUCUGGCUGCUUGUGUGGUUAAAAUCGUUUUCCACUUUGAUAUCAGAAAUUAUUUUUGUAUCUGAGCUUCAAGUUCUUCUAUUUUUUAUAAAAAGAAAGAAUCGAGUGUGGAUUUUUUUAAAUAGUAGGAGUUUUGUGGUUGAUCAGUUCUCCUGGUGUGUAUGUAUAUGCAUGCAUGUAUUAUGUAUUUUUUUAUUUCUAAAAUUUGUUUUGGAAUAGACCUUCUUCAAUGAUUUAAAAAUUCUACUUUUAUUGCAUACUAGAUUUUUAUGUAAAUUUAGCUCUGGACAGUUCUCUCACGGUUUGUGUAUUGUACAGGAUAAAACUGUUUUAGCUGUUAUAUUUUCAUAAUGUAUUUACAUAUUUGAUAA